AUAUUUACCUGGCCAGGGAGAUACCAUGAUCACAAAUGUGGUUUUCUUAUGCUGAGUCUAAUCCAUUGCACUUCUGAGGUAGUGACCCCUGCAAUUUCCCCAGAUGCAGGGGACUCAACUGUAUAAUGUGUGGUAAUAGGGAACUGUGUUCAUGUUUUUUUCUA
Molecule: small nuclear RNA, 164 nt
Organism: Molossus molossus (Pallas's mastiff bat)
Lineage: Eukaryota; Metazoa; Chordata; Mammalia; Chiroptera; Molossidae
Product: U1 spliceosomal RNA
Exons: 1
Source: RefSeq, a predicted model, not a curated record